AUUGAACGCUGGCGGCAGGCCUAACACAUGCCAGUCGAACGGUAACAGGAAACGACUUGCUGUUUCGCUGUGGAGUGGCGGGCGCGGGUGAGAUGUCUGGGAAACUCUCUGAUGGAGGGGGGGAACACCUGGGAACGCUUGCUAAAACCGCAUAACGGCGCAAGAGCAAAGAGGGGGACCUCUUGGCCUCUUGCCAUAGGGUGUGAGCAGAUGGGAUUAGCUAGUAGGGGGGGUAAAGGCUCACCAAGGCGACGAUCCCUAGCUGGUCUGAGAGGAUGACCAGCCACACUGGAACUGAGACACGGUCCAGACUCCUACGGGAGGCAGCAGUGGGGAAUAUUGGAAAAUGGGCGCAAGCCUGAUGCAGCCAUGCCGCGUGGGUGAAGAAGGCCUUCGGGUUGUAAAGUACUUUUGUCGGGGAGGAAAAGAGGCAAGUUAAUACCUUUGCGCAUUGACGUUACCCAAAGAAGAAGCACCGGCUAACUCCGUG
RNAcentral lists this ribosomal RNA (490 nucleotides) under uncultured bacterium. RNAcentral describes it as "partial 16S ribosomal RNA". It matches the Rfam family "Bacterial small subunit ribosomal RNA", at positions 29 to 507 of the family's 1533-position model. The record is from RNAcentral.